GGGACUACUUUCUUAGAGGGAGGGAUACAGUCAUUUCAACUGAAUGAAUCACCUUUUCUGUGUGGGAGCAGACUUUAAAGACAAAGGUUGUUUUUAUCUGUCACGUUGUUUGUUAUGUAUUAAAGUAAAUAGAUUCUGUAUGUUAAUGCACACAUGAAUACCAAACAUGAUUCUCUACUCAGAGGGAGAACUCCUCCCUGCAGGCUGCUUUCUCUGACAGUUUUAACCUUUGACUUCUAGCGUACAGUGAGAGUGUUUCCUGAUCACCUCCCCUUCCUCUUUAAACUUCAGUCACAUCAGUAGAGCUGCCGAUCUUCAUCAGGAGUAGAGACAAUAAGUCAGAUUUCUCAAACUUAUUUUAUAUUUGACAAGAUGAUCUGCCUUUUAGUUCUCUGCUGCCUUUCAGGCGGUCUGGCUCUGGAGGUCCUUCAGUCUCCCUCUGAUGUUCUGACACAACCUGGAGACAAAGUGCAGAUUUUCUGCAGCCAUAAAAAAACGGACUACCGGGUGAUGCUCUGGUACCAGCGCUCACCUGGAGACACAGCUAUGAAACUCAUCGGGUAUUUGAACGUUAAAGCAGUCACCAUGGAAGCCACAUAUGAAGCAGAUUUUACUAUGACUGGAGAUUUGGGAGGAAACACAGAAAAGAACGGCUCUCUGGUUUUCAAAAGAGUGAAAGCAGAGCACAGUGCAGUUUAUUACUGUGCAGCGAGAGAAGCACGCUGAUGAAAAGACCCCGGGAACUUUACAAAAACCCUCGGUGGGUUUUUCUCAUCCGAGGUUUUUAAAUAAGACGUGGAUUGAACUGCUCGGAGACACCUGCUUUAGUGGUUGGAUUCUGGUUUGAUGCAGUCACAUCAUCAGUUAGAGAUAAGGGGAGGGGAUCGGGGACCAGGGUUUGAUUAGUACACCAUUAAGGAUCUUUGAUAUUAGGAAGCACCAUAAGGGCCUGUGUCCACAGAAUAUUCUUUUUCCACUGGUUGGGCUGUUU
Molecule: non-coding RNA, 991 nt
Organism: Labrus bergylta (ballan wrasse)
Lineage: Eukaryota; Metazoa; Chordata; Actinopteri; Labriformes; Labridae
Source: the annotation of a RefSeq genome assembly